This 341-nucleotide ribosomal RNA is filed under the name Pseudolestes mirabilis. RNAcentral describes it as "partial 16S ribosomal RNA". The record is from RNAcentral. Lineage: Eukaryota; Metazoa; Arthropoda; Insecta; Odonata; Pseudolestidae.
AACGGCCGCGGUAUUCUGACCGUGCAAAGGUAGCAUAAUCAUUAGUCUUUUAAUAGGGGGCUGGAAUGAAAGGUUUGAUGAAGUAUAGGCUGUCUCAAUAAUAUAUUNUAAAAUUUAACUUUCAAGUUAAAAGGCUUGAAUUUUGUAGAUAGACGAGAAGACCCUAUAGAGCUUUAUAAUUUAUUGGUUNGGAGUUUUUUAGAUUGACAUGUUUACUUCAUUUUNUUAAUUUAUUUUGUUGGGGUGAUGNAAAAUAUAAGAUUAACUUUUNUUAUUUNAUUGUACAUUGAUAUAUGANUUUUUAGAUCCAUUAUUAGUGAUUAUUAGAUGAAGUUACCUUA